UGGCGCACGGGUGCGUAACGCGUAUGCAACCUACCUUUUAUUGGGGGAUAGCCCGAAGAAAUUCGGAUUAGUACCGCAUAAUAUCCUUUGAGGGCAUCUGAAGAGGAUGAAAGCUACGGCGAUAAAAGAUGGGCAUGCGUGUCAUUAGCUAGUUGGUGAGGUAACGGCUCACCAAGGCGACGAUGACUAGGGGUUCUGAGAGGAUGAUCCCCCACACUGGUACUGAGAUACGGACCAGACUCCUACGGGAGGCAGCAGUAGGGAAUAUUGGGCAAUGGAGGAAACUCUGACCCAGCCAUGCCGCGUGCCGGAUGAAGGCCUUCUGGGUUGUAAACGGCUUUUACCAGGGAAGAAAAUACCUUUGCGAAGGGAACUGACGGUACCUGGUGAAUAAGCACCGGCUAACUCCGUGCCAGCAGCCGCGGUAAUACGGAGGGUGCAAGCGUUGUCCGGAUUUAUUGGGUUUAAAGGGUGCGUAGGCGGCUUGGUAAGUCCGUGGUGAAAGCCCACCGCUCAACGGUGGAACUGCCAUGGAUACUGCCAGGCUUGAGUACAGACGAGGUAGGCGGAAUGGAUCGUGUAGCGGUGAAAUGCUUAGAUAUGACAUAGAACACCAAUUGCGAAGGCAGCUGACUACGGAGAUAUUGACACUGAGGCACGAAAGCGUGGGGAUCAAACGGGAUUAGAUACCCUGNUAGUCCACGCCCUAAACGAUGGAUACUCGACAUUUGUGAUAGACAAUAAGUGUC
Molecule: ribosomal RNA, 749 nt
Filed under: uncultured Bacteroidota bacterium
Lineage: Bacteria; Pseudomonadati; Bacteroidota
Description: bacterial SSU rRNA
Rfam family: Bacterial small subunit ribosomal RNA
Source: RNAcentral